AAGUAGUUGAAUUUCGUGCCCAUAACAUUUCAACCAAGAUAGGCCACAGACCAGCAGGAAGCUUAUUUUCUUGUCUGUCUUUCAUAUCACGAUCUAGAUAAGCAACUAUUUCCAAUCAACAUUUAGGCUGCAUGUGACGCAGCUUAUACUUCCAUCCAAAUGCAUAGUGUAUGCUAGCUCUCCAUCCAUCCGUUUAAAAUCACGUGUCAUAUUCAGGGUCCAGAGCCUAUCCGGAGACUACAGGCACAAGGCAGGGAACCACCCAGAAUGGGGAACCAACGGGGGGGGCGGAAUACCCCCUGAAAAGCUCAUAUACAACAUGCAUACUCCCCACACUUGGACAGAGGUGGGAGGUGACAGUACUAGCCACUGCACCAGCACAACUAAACCAGCCAAAGUAUACUGCCUCCUCGUAGCAUAGAUCACUUUCGUUUUGGGGACACAAACAGCCAGUGUUCUAUCUACCAAUGCUACUUAUCGAGACGUGCUAUCGAGCCUUUCUGCGCAUGUGCAGUUCCACCGUCUUGGAAUUAGGGUUAGGUUUUAGGGGUUAGCGUAGGGGUUUUAGGGUUUUUUGGGGGGGAUUAGGGUUAGGGCUAGGGCUAUCGAUUAGCACUACAACUCGACAAAGUAGCUCAACUCGUCAGAACACCGGUCCCCAAAUGCCAAACGCAAAACAUUGUGGAAAUCCUCGAACGCAAAACAGCAUGGAUGGCGCAGAUGACAUUGCGGAAGGGGCUGGUAGCUGCGGACUCACGGACUGACCUCCCGGCGGCGGAUCUUCCGCGCCAGCUGCACACCAGAUAGCAAUAGCAACGGGUUGGUGAUCGGCGGCAAUCUGACCGACGUCCCGCUUCUUCGGGAUGUAAGUGACCCAUGGAUAGCAGUCAGAACCGCCACGGCGAUUCUCAGCAACCGAGCUAAAACGCGCUCCAAACACCGUAGCGCCAUAUUUGCGUCACGUGGUCCCUGGAAUAGCGGCGUACUCUGGGCAGAAAAGGUUAUAGAAAGCGGCCAGGAUAUCUUACUGGGGCUCGAGGUUUACCGAUGCGGUUGUCAGCUGGUAAAAAUGUUUACCUUUAGAUCCAGAGACACCGCUAUUGCAUAAAUUGCUAUUGCACUUACUGUUACUCUUCGUUGAAUGAGUCCACGUUAUUUUAACUGCUUCUGUCUUACAUCCGCGUUUGAAUAUGUUAUGUUAUGUCUUGCGCAUUAAUAUUCUGUUAAUUACAAUUUCUUGCUCUAUGACCGACGAGAUUGAAAUUUCAUCUGCGUGACCCAUGGAUCACAUAGCUGAAGAGGAAAAUAAACAUUUUGACUUUGACAACUACAACAAGCUUUUUUUUCUGACUUUUAUGUAUCUGAUAGUGAACAAAAAUGUAACCAGUGUAACAAAGUAGUCUGAAGACAAUUUGAUUUAUAAUUUGAUUUUCUGUAUUUUAAUUCACAAUGAUAUAUUUUGGCGGUUUUAUAAUAAAAUGCACAGUAUAUCACA
This is a long non-coding RNA of Paramormyrops kingsleyae, 1495 nucleotides long. RefSeq lists it as uncharacterized. The record is from RefSeq and is a predicted model, not a curated record. Lineage: Eukaryota; Metazoa; Chordata; Actinopteri; Osteoglossiformes; Mormyridae.